Molecule: ribosomal RNA, 195 nt
Filed under: uncultured bacterium
Lineage: Bacteria
Description: partial 16S ribosomal RNA
Rfam family: Bacterial small subunit ribosomal RNA
Source: RNAcentral
UGCAACUCGGCUGCAUGAAGCUGGAAUCGCUAGUAAUCGCAGAUCAGAAUGCUGCGGUGAAUACGUUCCCGGGUCUUGUACACACCGCCCGUCACACCAUGGGAGUUGGGAAUGCCCGAAGUCAGUGACCCAACCGCAAGGAGGGAGCUGCCGAAGGCAGGCUUGAUAACUGGGGUGAAGUCGUAACAAGGUAGC